AGUUGAUUUAAGUUACUGAGACAAAAGCAAUGGUGACUGAGAUGAAACGUCGAUUUUGAUUAGAGUAUGAUACGGAGAAUAUCUAAGGUGCAGGCUGUAUUAUUACUCUUGGGAGCACAAGAAAUGACAAAUAGUGCCCCCACCUGACUUUUUUUUGCAGCAAAACUAUCAUGACAUUAUAGAAAUAAAUGAUCAUUCCAAAGUUCAAAGAUUUCACGAAGAUUUGCAUCACUUGUUAGGUUUCUUGAAAAACGAAAAGAGAGAUGUUUUGAGAAGAAAAUUUGUGUCAACCUGAAGAUUAUUAAUAGCAUGCACUGUCUUUCUGCUCAACCAGAAUAAUAACAAUGUUCGAUCUAUUCAACAUCGUAUCUAUUGCAGUUAUCAAUUUGUUGUUAUUAUAGUCCUCGAAUUGUGUUUUUCGGUAAAUCCUGCGCUGUUUUGAACUAAUUGUAUAUAUGGGCUCAGUUUUUGUAGAUUUUGACAACAGAAUUGAGUUGCUCGUGUUUGAAAACAUAGGGUUUAUUUAAAAUUUUCAUGAAAUGGAGUUCUACAACUCUUGGAAUUUAGAAACCAAGUUUGUGAACUUUAUAGGUCAAGUGCAGGGAAUUUUUGAAAUAUGACCAAACGGGAGUGAAUUUGGAGGAUUUUGAGUCCAAAACUGAAUUUCUUACAUUCAAUAACCUUUAGAAACCUAUAUGGUUUGUCCCAAUUGGAUUUCCACAUCAAUAGGAACGUUGAUUUUAAAAGUAUGUAAUUAAGUGCAAUUCCAAAUGAGAAAGUGUCUUAUAUGUGUAGAUGUGCAUGAAAAAUAUGAUAUGAAUUAGUGAAUGAAUUGCUUGUUUUGAUUGAGAAUUAUUAUGUGGAAUUGUUAUGAUUAAAUGUUGUAAGACCAAGUGAGUGUGAUCACUUGGCAAGACAUGUUUCAUGAUAUGAACUGUUAUGAUAUUGAUCAUGAACUGUUGUACUUUAGGAUUGGGUCUGGGGUGUCCGACCACUAAGUGUUAUUUGUUAUUAGAAUGUCUCAUGAUGAAUUAAUAUUUUGGAUUGGUAGUUAUGAAUGUGCAAGUGGUCUUGUUCACUUAAAAGGCCAUUUUGAUGAUGACCCUAGAGAGGAUUAUUUCCCCUCUUCUCUUGUAAUGUUUGUGUGUGUGUACACAACGAAGGAUACUUGUAGUCAGGGACAUCAUGAGGAUAGACAUGCAGUACAAGGAAAUUGCAGAAGAAUGAGGUAAUGUGUUUGUGUUAGAGUUAGAGGGAUUGUUGAAUUGGGAGUUGGUGCAUGACCUUAUACUCAAUUGGAAUAGAUACUCUAAUUUAUAUUCACUAGUAUCAACGCAUCAUUGUUUAUACUUCUCAUCAUGAAGAAUGAGCGAGAAUUCGUUAAGUGAAGGUGGAUGAUACACAGUAGGAACACUGGGGGACGAUUCAAAUGGUUCAAAGGAAUUUGGGGAAAUGUUGAGUGGUGAUAAUCGGACUAAGGGCAUUUUUCGGUUAGAUUGGGGGACUCAUUCGCCUCAUCACUUGGCAUUCCUAACUAGAAUAGAGUUGUAACCAUGGUUGGUGAGAACGUCAUGUCAUGUAUCGGCAUGUGACAUGUCCUCCCAAUCGUCAUCUAUAUGUUGCAUAAGACCAUGAAAGCUGGGAGGCUUAGUGGUAGUGUUGGGCCCAAGGUAAGAAUAAUGAGAGAGAAGAAUGCAGAAUAAGAUGUCAUGAGUGAUGUUUACUAGGUUAUGUGUGGGACUUAAUGUUCGUGUUUGUGGUUUUGAAAGGGAUGGAGUACUCACUCUCUUAUUACCAUUUUCAGAACCAGUUGAUAAGUCCAGCAUCGCAUCUCCCAUUCUACAUUGAUGUUAUUGAGACCAAGUGGGAACAUGAUGACAUGCUCCAUAUGGAUCACUUCUCUGAGUUCCUAUGUUGUUGUCGUAUACUAGAUGUUCAGGAGCUAGGAUUUGUAUCAUUCACUUUUUCUUUUCAUGGAACUAGACUACGUUGUCCUAUUGUCGCUUCGCGAUGCCCAUGCUUGAGGUUAUCAUUUUUGGGGCUUGGGUAUAGAUGACUGCUCUGAGAUUUUAGGUUUUGCCCUUAAUUGUAUUUUGGGGAUGGGUAGACCUAAGAUCAAACCUUUUGUAAUUAUUAGAACCAUUUUCAUUAUUAUUUUGGGUUGUAUUUGUUGCUCUCUAGUUUGUUUGAGACGUAUGUAUUUGGUUAACUCUUCUGGCAUAUGAUACCUAAUUAUUAUAUUUGAUGACCAUGGAGAUUCACUUGUUUAUUUUUGUUUAUUCAUUCUCUAAGCAUGUAUGAUUUAUUUUCAAUUUUGUUUUACUCGUUGACUCAAGUUUUAACGUGAUAGAGGACUAUCCAAGGAGGAAGAGCUUGGCUUGAGUGGCUCAACAUGGAUGGACCAAUCACUAGAGCAAGGAGUAAGAGAUUUCAAAAAGAGUUUGGUAAGAGGCUAAGUUCUCUUAUGGAAGAAAGAAAAGAAGAAGCAAAACUCAUAAAUUUUAGCAAACUUUUAGAAUAUGAUUUAUUUUCCCUUUUAAUUAUUUUGGACCUAUUUUCAGACUUGUAAUGGGUUGUCACAACCUUUUAUUGUUAUUUUCAAGUCUUUUAAUUAUUAUAUUAGUUAUUGGGCAUUGGGCCUAAUUUGGGGUUAUUAGUAGGAGUAUAAAUAGACUCCUUAAACACUUUGUGGACAAUAUUUGAUGAAAUUUUAGAUUAGAUACAGUUAA
Molecule: long non-coding RNA, 2729 nt
Organism: Glycine soja
Lineage: Eukaryota; Viridiplantae; Streptophyta; Magnoliopsida; Fabales; Fabaceae
Exons: 3
Source: RefSeq, a predicted model, not a curated record